This is a long non-coding RNA of Lagopus muta (rock ptarmigan), 1074 nucleotides long. RefSeq lists it as uncharacterized. The transcript has 3 exons. The record is from RefSeq and is a predicted model, not a curated record. NCBI's taxonomy places the organism in Eukaryota, Metazoa, Chordata, Aves, Galliformes, Phasianidae.
ACUUACAGAUGACCUUAUUAUGGGAAGAAGCUGCAUACAGACAGGCUUCUGCUACCCGUGGCUGAAAAAGGGUUUGAUCUGAGCAGGACCUCUCCAGACCCCUUCACCCUCACUUGGGAGGAAAAAUCGAACAGUGAGGAGAACAUGCUCAGAGGAGUUGGAUUACAGCUUACACGUGUAUUCGAACCCAAAGUUACACAAUUUCACGAAGAACUGUGUGCAGAAAUGGUUUCUGAUUUUGCUUACAGCGGCUGAGAGUUUGUAAGAGAUUUGGAGGGACAUAACAUUUAUUUCCUAUUUCCCUGAGCUUCAGUCCAGGCCUUGGAAAAACCCAUCUGACAGUGAGUUUGUUUGUAUAUUUCAAAUUUUUUCCUAAGUAUGCUAGGCUCAUUAGCAAGCCUUGGAAAAUGCAUACUUUGUUGAAGUUAAUAUGGAAAACAAGAUACUGAGGGCUCAAAUCUGUCUCCAGAAUAUAAAUAAGCAUACCUUCCUUUGGAGCAGGUUUUGACUGGAGUCAUACUGGAACCCUUGUUUCUGGGAGAGUUACGAAUGUGCUUUGCUAGGAAAUGCUGUUCCUUAAAGAGCUCGUGAGGCCUACAGGGUCUACAUGAAUUCUGAUCCUGCAUGUGCACGGCACCAUGUGGCCUGAACAGGACCUCACCUGUGUUGGCAGGAGAUGCUAAUGGCAGGUACUUUGCCAUGGAAGACCCUGGGAUGCUUGGCUGCAACACGUCGUGAGGACAUGGCAGUGACAGCUCAAUGCUGACCAGACUUCUUCAACCAAUAUGAAACACGUUUAAAUGGCAGAGGAGCCCAACCAAAAGGUGUUGCUCAAAAUGGUGCUUCGAAGGCUUAACCAAUGAAAUAACUCUUGACAUUGCAUGAAGCGGUCAUAUUUACCUCUGCCUCUCCAUUUCUAUGAUAAUUUUCGAAUUCAAAGAUUGGAUCUGAGAAUUUCAUAUGAAUUAAAUGUCUGUGUAAGCUCUGCUUACCCACUUGGCACAAGGUGGUUGUUUCCUCGUGGAUCAGAAUUCAUACUUCCCAUUAAGCCAAAGUAAUUUCUGUUCACCACUG